GGCUCUGUACUUUAACCUAAAAGACCUGACUUGCACUUAGAAAAUGAAAACCCUUUUUUCCAGAGCCA
This 68-nucleotide transfer RNA is filed under the name Steromphala umbilicaris. Its description in RNAcentral is "tRNA-Ala". Lineage: Eukaryota; Metazoa; Mollusca; Gastropoda; Trochida; Trochidae. The record is from RNAcentral.